GUGCCAGCCGCCGCGGUAAUACGUAGGUGGCGAGCGUUGUCCGGAAUUACUGGGCGUAAAGGGCGCGUAGGCGGUCUACUAAGUCAGAUGUGAAACCCCUAGGCUCAACCUGGGGCUUGCAUAUGAAACUGGUAGGCUAGAGUGUCGGAGAGGGAAGCGGAAUUCCUAGUGUAGCGGUGAAAUGCGUAGAUAUUAGGAGGAACACCAGUGGCGAAGGCGGCUUUCUGGACGAUAACUGACGCUGAGGCGCGAAAGCGUGGGGAGCAAACAGGAUUAGAUACCCUGGUAGUCCACGCUGUAAACGAUGGAUACUAGGUGUGGGAGGUAUCGACCCCUUCCGUGCCGCAGUAAACGCAAUAAGUAUCCCGCCUGGGGAGUACGGCCGCAAGGCUGAAACUUAAAGAAAUUGACGG
Molecule: ribosomal RNA, 413 nt
Filed under: uncultured bacterium
Lineage: Bacteria
Description: bacterial SSU rRNA
Rfam family: Bacterial small subunit ribosomal RNA
Source: RNAcentral